RNAcentral lists this ribosomal RNA (253 nucleotides) under uncultured bacterium. Its description in RNAcentral is "partial 16S ribosomal RNA". It matches the Rfam family "Bacterial small subunit ribosomal RNA", at positions 524 to 776 of the family's 1533-position model. The record is from RNAcentral.
UACGAAGGGGGCUAGCGUUGUUCGGAAUUACUGGGCGUAAAGCGCACGUCGGCGGCUCAGCAAGUCAGGGGUGAAAUCCCGGGGCUCAACCCCGGAACUGCCCUUGAAACUGCUAAGCUAGAAUCUUGGAGAGGCGAGUGGAACUCCGAGUGUAGAGGUGAAAUUCGUAGAUAUUCGGAAGAACACCAGUGGCGAAGGCGACUCGCUGGACAAGUAUUGACGCUGAGGUGCGAAAGCGUGGGGAGCAAACAGG